GACGAACGCUGGCGGCGUGCCUAAUACAUGCAAGUUGAGCGAUGAAGAUUGGUGCUUGCACCAAUUUGAAGAGCAGCGAACGGGUGAGUAACGCGUGGGGAAUCUGCCUUUGAGCGGGGGACAACAUUUGGAAACGAAUGCUAAUACCGCAUAACAACUUUAAACAUAAGUUUUAAGUUUGAAAGAUGCAAUUGCAUCACUCAAAGAUGAUCCCGCGUUGUAUUAGCUAGUUGGUGAGGUAAAGGCUCACCAAGGCGAUGAUACAUAGCCGACCUGAGAGGGUGAUCGGCCACAUUGGGACUGAGACACGGCCCAAACUCCUACGGGAGGCAGCAGUAGGGAAUCUUCGGCAAUGGACGAAAGUCUGACCGAGCAACGCCGCGUGAGUGAAGAAGGUUUUCGGAUCGUAAAACUCUGUUGGUAGAGAAGAACGUUGGGGAGAGUGGAAAGCUCAUCAAGUGACGGUAACUACCCAGAAAGGGACGGCUAACUACGUG
RNAcentral lists this ribosomal RNA (497 nucleotides) under uncultured bacterium. RNAcentral describes it as "partial 16S ribosomal RNA". It matches the Rfam family "Bacterial small subunit ribosomal RNA", at positions 28 to 507 of the family's 1533-position model. The record is from RNAcentral.